RNAcentral lists this ribosomal RNA (229 nucleotides) under uncultured bacterium. RNAcentral describes it as "partial 16S ribosomal RNA". It matches the Rfam family "Bacterial small subunit ribosomal RNA", at positions 568 to 796 of the family's 1533-position model. The record is from RNAcentral.
CGCGUAGGCGGGUUAAUAAGUCAGAGGUGAAAUCUCACAGCUUAACUGUGAAAUUGCCUUUGAAACUGUUAAUCUUGAAUUAGGACGAGGUGUGUGGAAUGUGGCAUGUAGCGGUGAAAUGCAUAGAUAUGCCAUAGAACACCGAUUGCGAAGGCAGCACACUAGACCUAUAUUGACGCUGAGGCGCGAAAGCGUGGGGAGCGAACAGGAUUAGAUACCCUGGUAGUCC